This 301-nucleotide ribosomal RNA is filed under the name uncultured bacterium. Its description in RNAcentral is "partial 16S ribosomal RNA". It matches the Rfam family "Bacterial small subunit ribosomal RNA", at positions 509 to 807 of the family's 1533-position model. The record is from RNAcentral.
CAGUCGCCGCGGUAAUACAGAGGGUGCAAGCGUUAAUCGGAAUUACUGGGCGUAAAGCGCGCGUAGGUGGUUCGCCAAGUUGGAUGUGAAAUCCCCGGGCUCAACCUGGGAACUGCAUCCAAAACUGGCGAGCUAGAGUAUGGUAGAGGGUGGUGGAAUUUCCUGUGUAGCGGUGAAAUGCGUAGAUAUAGGAAGGAACAUCAGUGGCGAAGGCGGCAACCUGGUCCGAUACUGACGCUGAGGCGCGAAAGCGUGGGGAGCAAACAGGAUUAGAUACCCCCGUAGUCCCUGUCUCUUAUAC